CCUACGGGUGGCUGCAGUGGGGAAUAUUGGACAAUGGGCGAAAGCCUGAUCCAGCCAUGCCGCGUGUGUGAAGAAGGCCUUCGGGUUGUAAAGCACUUUCAGUGGGGAAGAAAGCCUUGGGGCUAAUACCCUCGAGGAAGGACAUCACCCACAGAAGAAGCACCGGCUAACUCCGUGCCAGCAGCCGCGGUAAUACGGAGGGUGCGAGCGUUAAUCGGAAUUACUGGGCGUAAAGCGCGCGUAGGCGGUCUGAUAAGCCGGUUGUGAAAGCCCCGGGCUCAACCUGGGAACGGCAUCCGGAACUGUCAGGCUAGAGUGCAGGAGAGGAAGGUAGAAUUCCCGGUGUAGCGGUGAAAUGCGUAGAGAUCGGGAGGAAUACCAGUGGCGAAGGCGGCCUUCUGGACUGACACUGACGCUGUGGUGCGAAAGCGUGGGUAGCAAACAGGAUUAGAUACCCUGGUAGUC
This 465-nucleotide ribosomal RNA is filed under the name Vreelandella stevensii. Its description in RNAcentral is "partial 16S ribosomal RNA". It matches the Rfam family "Bacterial small subunit ribosomal RNA", at positions 338 to 795 of the family's 1533-position model. Lineage: Bacteria; Pseudomonadati; Pseudomonadota; Gammaproteobacteria; Oceanospirillales; Halomonadaceae. The record is from RNAcentral.